This 6908-nucleotide long non-coding RNA is filed under the name Homo sapiens (human). RNAcentral's name for it is "HSALNT0328175". The record is from RNAcentral. Lineage: Eukaryota; Metazoa; Chordata; Mammalia; Primates; Hominidae.
CAUUUUGCUCUUUAUUGAUAAUGUGUGUUCUUAUUUUGAAUAUUUAUCAUUAAACAUUGUAAUAACACAAAUCUGUGUGAAUUUUUGUGUGUCCAAGCUUCCUUCUUUAGUACCAAGUGGUCGCUUCCACUUUACUCGUCCAUUUCUUGUGGAUUUCAGUUUCUAAUUCCGGAUGGGCUUGAAAAUCAGAACACUAUUCAGCUUAAGCUUUGAGUGAUACAGUAGUUUAUAAAUUCCUAAACGUGGUUCCAACAAGUGUAUUAUGUAGCUUUAGCUCAUACUAAAGCUGUAAAGUAUUUCAGAUACCUAGUCCAUGAAUUUUCUAAUAAUUUAGGGGAGGUUCCCAAACUGAGGUAGUAUUAAAAUAUUGAGGAAAUCAAAAAUAAUAUUUGAGUCAUUAAAAUCAAAGUAAUGAGCAAUCAGAGAGAUGAUUUAAGUCAUUUUAGGGAAAAGUUUCCCUUAUUACAGAGGAGCAUGGUAAAUCAAUGCAUGAGAGACUAAAUAAUUAUUUUAGAUGUGUUGUGCAAUGUCCAGCAGAAUUUAAAUCACAGAAAGGUUUACAUUUGAACAGUGAAAGAUACCUGCAGUAUUCAUAGAUACCUGCGAAUAGUUAGGCAAAUAUGUUUUCAAAUAAAAUACAAAGUUUACACUUGUUUUGCCUAACACGGUUGUACAGGCCAAUGAUUAAAUGCACCAACUUUGGAAUCAAGAUUUCCUGGAUUCAAAUUCAAGCUCCACCAUUGGCAAAUUAUUUAACCUACAUGUGCCUCAGUUCCCUCAUCUAUAUGUGGAGGCAAUAGUUACACUCUCUUAUAAUGUUUUUGUUAGCAUUGUCAGAAGAUAGCUCAUGUGGAGCAUUUUAGAAGAAUACUUAUGUUUAACAGCCAACAGGUUUGCUUAUUAAACUGUAGAGAAAAAUUAAAAAGAAAAAUCAAGAAGUUCUUCACUAGUUUAAUUUUUCUACAAAUGAUAAAAUGUUUCUGAUUAUAUAUGCUAUGAAUUUGUUUAAUGUCUUGUUGAGGCAUCUGAAGUGUGUGUGCAUGUAAAUAUUGGCACAUUUCUGAACACAAUUUACACCGAGCCAAAGAGAGUCACUAAUAUUUGUUAAAUUGCUUUUCUAAAGUGGGAAAAGUAGCAUCUUUUCCAAAGGGUGCUUUAUUCACACUAACUAAUUAAGUGAAUGAGCUUUCUGGUUUUAAUUAAGUGGAGUGUUUGUAUAUGUAUAUGCUUGUUUAUAUACUCAGCAGCAAUAAGGGUGAGAUUUUAAUAUAGAAAGGAAGAAAUAGCCACUAAGAAAGUUCAAGCCCAUUCAAGUAAAAAUCCUAACCUGAUAGUUUUAGGCAAUGCAAAGUUAAUGGACUGGUUUGAAUUCCAUAAAGUGGUACUUUUUUAUCAUCUGAAAUGGCUCAUGGAUCUCAUAUGAACAUACCUAAUAUUUCUGGAGCAUUAACUCUUCAGAGGUAUAAUCACACUGUGUAUCAAUAAAGAUAAAAUACGUGAUAAGUGAAAUUUUGCUUUCUGGCUGCUUUGGGAUUAUGUGGCUAAUGACCAUCAGGCAGACACUCAGGCAAUUACAAUGGGGAGAUUUCUUAGCUCUGAAAGCACAGGCAAGAUUCCAAAAUGUGCAAAACAAGCAGAGCAUAGAGUAGGGGCAAAGGUGAUAUAUUCAUGGAUGAGUGCAAGUUUUGGUUUUCAGGAGUUCAAGGAGCAAGUCUGUUCAGAAUAUUGUUAUAAAGCAGAUAGAGGACAAAAGCAUAAUUGAAAUAACCGGAAUGUACAUAGGCUAACUGCAUUGCUUUAUGUGGUGUGGUUCUGUGGAAAGAUUAUUAGACUUACAAGAGUGAGGACUCACAGUUCUGCCAGCAAAUAAGCUGAGUGGCUUCAGACAAGCCACUUUACUUAUCUCUGGGCCUCAGUUUUCCCGUUUAUGGAUUAAAGACAUUCACAGACAUUGGCUGAGUGCCCGCAAUGUGCCAGCUAUUGAGCUAAACUUGGGAUGCUAGAAAAGACAAUCCCUUUUCUGGAUUAGGAAGUUUACAUUUUAAAGAUGCAAGAAGGCACUAAACAAGGGCAGUGAGGUACAACAAGCUCUGUGGUUUUAUUUCUCCUAAAUGGGAGGAAACAUAGAGAGGAAGAAAAGUAUGCAAUCUCAGUUGCAAAUGGAGGCAGGGGCUCACCAUGUUCUCUGAUACGAUUGUACCGCCCAUUGGUAAGAAUCAGAGGCUGAAAAGAUUCUGUUACUGAAACUCAACACUUAGUUGAUACCUGCUACAACUUUAACUACUCGUUGACUGUUUACGGCUUUUGCUGUAAGUUGGAGUAUGGUGACAAACACACAACAGGAGUCUAAAAACUCAAACGUAUCUAAAAGCCAUGACACAGAAGGCCUGGAGACUGCAUGGAAUGAUGAGGACUGCAGUGAACUCUGAAGUGCCUACCCAUGUGAAACGAACAAGUGCUAUUCGGAAGAAGCAGGUUGUGUUAAUCUGAGGCCUUUGAGAUACUAUAUGAACUGCUCCAACAUUCUGAAGAGAAGGUCUGGAUCAUUUAAGUAGGACUUGCAAAGAAAGUGGCCUAGAUCCUUAGCUGAGCUGAUCACUUACCUCAAACCUAUAAAGAAGUGGAGGGGCCAAGAAUAGGUGUUGGAUAUCAGCGGGAGAGUUUCAUCAAAGAGCUGUCAGUUUCAUCUCAACCUUACCCUCCAGGAGAGGUGAAGACUAAAGCACCAACUGAGGAGAAAAGAUUUUCAGUGUCAGUGAAGUUAAAACAUGUCAGCGGCAGUUGCUUCUGUGAAUAUUGUCUCACAUGAAAGGAAGGAUGGAUUGAAUUCAUAUCUGAAACAAGACAAGAUUUUCCAUCUGACCUCAUUAUGUGUUUCUCUGGAGUGCAUCCCUGGGUUUCUGCCUGAACUGAAAUGUGUUGUGGGGAAACCAAAUAUAAAACAGCUCAGUACUGCCAUAACUGACGUGUCUUAAUAAGAUGGGGUAUUUAUUGUUUUGCCACAGUCCUCUCUUAACUCUAAAAGUCAUUAUGAUGUGCUAGAUCCCUUUGUUAAAGCAAUUCCCAUAAGUGAAGGCAUGUACUAAUGAAAAGGUUUAUGCUACAUGGCUGGAAACAAGGAUGAAGUAGCAUUACUGUGUAUAACAGAGAUUCAUAUUGAGAAAUAUUUAUGGAAAGAUUUUUAGAGACUUGACUGUUGUAUUCUUAUAAAUAAUUAAAUGUACAAAUCAUCAUUGUUACAAUACAGCCAGUUUCCUUUUCUGUGAGCACUGGUGAUCGAUUCAAAAAUAUAUUGAUUUAAGGAAAUUUAUAGCAUUUUUCAUUGCUCCUAGUAAUACUAGAAAAUUUUUCACAGGUCAGAAAUAAUAGAAAACUUUCCCCUAGAUUAACCUUGUGCCACACAGACAGAUUUUCUUUAUUCUAAUGUAUCAUAAGGAAAGGCAUAAUGUCUUUCAGUUUUAUUUGUACAAUGGCUUAUAUGUCUUUAUGAGCAUAUAUAUUUGCAUCUAUCAUACUAAUUGAUAAAGAAAUAUGUCAUUGUCUGCAUUACUAUAUGUGUAUAAAUGUUUUUAUAUAUGUACAUACACACACUAUGAUUCUAUUUUUCAAAAUAUAGUGAAGGUAAGGAAAAUAUUAGUUAGAACUCCAACACCUACCACCACUAAAAUAUGUUUUAAUAACCUUUGAGCUAUUCUGUAAACUAAAUUACCAUUAUACCUAAGAAUAAAUCAAUGGCAAUAUACUAUUCAAAAAGUUAAUCGCAUAGAUCUCUGUAUGUAUACAUGUAAAUUUAUAUAUAAUGUAGAUAUAGUGAGAUGCAUUAUUUUGUUGAAAUUAGUGUCACUCUUCUGUGUUUAUUUAUACUAAAUAAUUUGAAAAACAUUUUAGAUUUUUAGUUGCUAUAGUAACACACCAUUAGACCAUUUUUCCAAUGUUGUAUAUUUUAUAAAACAGUAAGUACGAAACUAUAGAUGUGAUAAAUAAGCUAACAUAGACAAGUUUUCAGGUUUCAACACAAUCCUUUGGUUGAUAUGUUCAGCAUGGACUCUAAACAUUUCUGGCACACAAUGAACCUUUUAAAUUUGCCACCUGAGGAGAACUAUUCUUUUGGAAAUUGAAAUGCUGUGUAAUCUGUGACACUUUUACUUUAUAAAAAAUAACUUUUUUAUUCAAAUAGCAAAGAAUUAUGAAAUAUGUACUGCAUUCUUAGCAUUUUGCCUAAAGCUAGGGAUGCAGAGAUUACGGGGAGGUCCCUACAUUCAAGAGGCCACCUAUCAACUACAGAGCUCACUUCCUAAUAUUAAACUGUUGUGAGCAACCAAAUUAAAAAUGUACAUACAUGAUAGUUCACCUUCUAAGAAGUGGAGCUUAAUGUUACCUCCUUUGAAGUAUGAGUAAUUCCCAAAUAAUAGGGUAGGGAAAGGAGUUUUUUAUUAGUAGGGAAACCUGAUAAACCUACAUUUACCAAGUGAUGAAGGUUAAUCUUAUCAGUCAUGUUAAUGUAAAUAUCAUUUUCUGCCGCUAUAAUGUGAUGAGAAGAAAUUUUCACCUCUCUGGUAUUCUUUCCAAAAAUUUAUAUCCUGACUAAUCUGAGAAAAAAAAAAUUAGACCAACCCAGAUUGGGUGACGAUUCUACAGGAUACCUAGCCAGUAAUCCUCAAGACUGUCAAGGUUAUAAAAAACAAAGAAAGCCUAAGAAUCUUUCACAGGCCAUUGGAGCUUGGGAAGCCAAGAUAACCCAGUGCAAGGUAGUACCCCAAAUUAGACAUGGAACAUAAAGAGAACAUUAAGGACUAACUGGUGAAAUGCAAACAAAGUCUGGAGUUCAGUUGAAAAAUAAAACAAUUUAUAUAUAACUUUAAAGUCUAACAAUUAGGUCUGUUACAUUAGAAAAGAUAAACUGUAGUUUUAUCAAACAGCAGAUCAACUAAAAACUAUCCAGUUGUCAAGAAUGAAGGAAAUUUAGCACUCCAAUAGCCAGGCUAAUGUCACAUAAGUAUUGUGUCACAGAUCACAACAUGUGAACCUACAAUUAAGGAUCUUGAAACAUCUUUGGCCAGUGGUUUGCAAACUCUUUUUCGCAGAGCACUAGGAGCGUCUCAGACAGCAGUAUGGAUGAGUGAGAAGACAUGACAUUAGCCAUGCACCUAUCCCCAAUUUAACAUAAUAUUUUAUUUCACAAGAAGAAUCCAUGGCUUAGAAAAAAUACAAGAAAAUCAGUAUGAAAAAAUCAGUAACCUAGAGAGGUGCUUAUUAAACGUCAACGGGUAUACACAUCACAGAAGAUCUUUAAAGGCCAAUAUUGAUUCAGUAGUUCUGGGGUGGAGCCUGAAAUUCUGCAUUUAUGAUGAGUAAUGUCUACCCUAGGAGAUGAAGAUGUUGCUCGUCAGAGAAAAACACUGUAAGUAGGAAGGAUCUAGCUCAAAUGUUAAACUCUUCUCAUGUCAGUACGUUUCAUAGAGGAAAGUUUGCUGUUAUGUUUAAUGGGUUUUAUGACUUCAAUAGCAACACAUCAAAAUCCUUCUCAGUUAGUGAGUUGGAAAAAAUUAUGAAAACUGAGUUUUUUAAACUACACUUCUAUCCAUACCUCAUCCUUCAGUCCCCUUAAUCUAACUCGUAUUUAUUAUAACAACCUCCAGAACCAGACCUUACUCAGCCACGUCCUCUAUCUAGACUAUCCUCUCAUCAUGUCAUUCUAUAACCAGCCAUUUCAUCAAUGAAUUUGGACCCAACUGAGAUGUUCUUCUACCAAUUAUACUUUAUCAUACUCCAUGUCAAGCCGAGCAUCAGGUAGUAUGCACUAUCAAUUACAUCUUUCCAGGAAAAGGGAAGAAAAUUGAUGUUUUGGUUUUGUAAAAACCUAUGCUUUUGUAUUUCAUCUGGGCUCUUACCUGCCUACUCACAUUUUAAAAAUGUACUUCAUAUUGACCCUUAGUACAUUUUCCACAGGAUUGUUCCAAGCUUUCUGCUCUCUCAGAGGUCAUAUUUUAUUCCAAAACAUUUAUCACUUGAUCUUAUUUUCUGCUUCUCAAGAUUGAGAUUCUGGAACUCAAAAUAUCUUUCCCCCAUCCUGAUAUUGCCUCAAACUACUGCACAUCACAAGUAAGAUAGCUGCUUUUAGAAGUAUUUGGGAGCUUCUUCAAUUUCAGAUUGUUCUCAUAGGUUUUCUGAGCUUCUAACUAAUUAUUUGUAUCUCCCUUGCUACCUUUAAAAAAAGUUACUGUAAAAGUAAUUUGUAAACUUGUGUUUGAAAUCAGAGGUCUAACUCUCUGGUUUUAAGUCUUAGUGCUACUAUUUUCUAGCUUUAUGAUUUUGAGCAAGUUUGCUUCACUUUAUGAGCUCUAAUAUUUUUAUCUCAAAAACAAUGAUAAUAAUGACCAUUAUGUCACAUUUCUGCUUUAUGAACUGAAUGAGAUAAUAUAUGCAAAAUGUCUAGACCUGUGCCUGUCAGUAAUGUUAGAUAAAUUGUCAGUUAUUACUAUUACAUAUCUGCAGUCAUUCUUUUGGAUAGCUUGUCUGAUCUCAUUUUAUCUUUAUAUAAUCUUUACCUGUAUUUCCAACCCAGUUUCUUGAUAUCACAUUAUCUUGCUUUAUAACUCAGUUUCUAGAUGACAACUGGAACCGGAUAAUUCUUUGUUGUGGGGAGCUGUCCUGUGCAUUGUGAAAUGUUUGGCAAUAUUUCUAGCCUUUAUCCCCCAGAUGCCAGUAGCAACCCCCAGUUGCGACAAUGAAAACUGUCUCCAAAUAUCACCUAAUGUCCUCUGAGGUCCAAAAGCACCCCUGGUUGAGAACCAUCCUUCUAAUCUUUUUUAAGGAUAUGCUUAUAUGGAUGCCUCUUUGAUGCCUCAACAUAUGGGCAAAGGUAAAUGUAUCAUAUUCUCAAUAAAUACGUUUUGUAUACUGUUUUA